GUUGAAAACCACUGCCCUAAAGACUCCAGAUCUUAUUUGAUCUCGGAAGAUAAGCAGGGUCAGUCCUGGUUAGUACUUGGAUGGGAUUUUGCCAAUAAAUAUCAGGUCCUGUCAGCU
Molecule: ribosomal RNA, 117 nt
Filed under: Anolis carolinensis (green anole)
Lineage: Eukaryota; Metazoa; Chordata; Lepidosauria; Squamata; Anolidae
Source: RNAcentral